CAGUUCUCGUGUUCCUUGAAGAACGUUUCUGUGCAGCCAAAGGAUCCAGAGCCCAGGGGACGCAGUCUUAGUUUGGGGGCCUGUGAAGCGGGUGACCACCUUGGGUCUUUGUCUCAGGGCCACCCUUCCUGGUGGCUGUUCCUGGCCGCCCCCUGGUGGCUGGGCUCAGCCUUGGCUGCCUUCCCUGCCUCAGGUGCCCUGCCAGCUCCUCAGAGGGGAGAGUCAGAGGAGCCGGAGAGAAUCACUGAAUCCGGUGUUGAGGCAUCCCUUGCCACAGCCUUUUUGCCCCUUUCUCAAGGCUGACAAAGAGGACGUCUGCGUCUGAGCAGCUCCAGGGGUGCCUUUUGGAGGCUUUCUUCUGCAGGGAUCCCCCCUAGAGCUCUGAUGAGGGGCAAGUGUGCGCAUGCCCGGGAAGGCCCCUCAAACUGUCAGACGUCCUGUGCGGGAUGUAGGACACUGUGCUGUCCUUCUCGGGGUCCUCGGGGGUCUCCUCGAGUUUUAGAGUCUUAGUCUUAGAGGUGUGGGGGCUGCUGUAGGCUGAAAGGGGUGGUGUUUCAGUCUCCACAGCUGCUGAGGGAGCUGAGGAGAGGAUGCCUUCGAGAAUAGGCAGGCCCUGUGUGUGUGUGUGUGUGUGUGUGUGUGUGUGUGUUUCGCACUUCUAUUAUUCUAUUCCCUGAGGUCACAGGGAAAAAUUACUGUGCGUCCCUAGCCAGGACCUGCGUCUGUGUACCCGUGUCUGGAAAUGGUAGAGGCAGGCACAUGAUGCUUACUGGCAGGCUCUCGUCUGCGUGUCCCUCCCCUAUUUCCUCAUUAUACCUCACAACCCCAUGAGGUGUUACCAGUUUCUCUCCUUUUCCAAUGAGGAAACUCUGGCCCAGGGAGUUCGUGACUUUCCCAAGGCCUCCCAGCAAACAAGUGGUGGAGCUGGGAUUUGAACCCUGUCUCCCCAGGCCCAGCGAGCCUGCUCUUUACCGCCUCUCUGUUCUCCACCAUCCUGGAAAGAAAUCCAUGCAUCACAAAAUAAUACUUACCUCAUUCCAUGGGAUGCUUUCGGAUAUGUGCCAUUUCUCUGUUAUCCCCAACUGCUGGUCGCAAUCCCCCACAUUGAUGUCUUCACUCUAAUAGGUCUCAAGCUGCCUUCUGGGAAAUCCUGUGAUGUCCUGCUUCCAAACCAGCUUUUAGCCCCUCCCUUCAUCCCUCCCCAUCGCCACUCUGCCACUUCAGGUUCCUCAUCAUUUCUGUUUUUUUUCUUUUUGGCCUCACCACUUCUUAGCUGGACAGCUCCAAUGACCUUGUUUCCCUCUCCAUCCAUUCUUUAUACUGACAUCAAAGUACUUUGGAAAGUACAUUUCUUUUUCUCUAUCUCUUUGUCUUUAUUUAUUUAUUUAUUUAUUUUUCUUUUUGUCUUUUCUAGGACCACUUCCAAAUAAUAUGGAGGUUCUCAGGCUAGGGGUCUAAUCAGAGCUGUAGCCACUGGCCUACGCCAGCGCCACAUCAAUGAGGGAUCUGAGCCAAAUCUGUGACCUUCACCACAGCUCACAGCAAUGCCAGAUCCUUAACCCACCGAGUAAGGGCAGGGAUCGAACCCACAACCUCAUGGUUCUUAGUCGGUUUUGUUAACAACUGUGCCACAAAGGGAACUCCUCUCUUUGUCUUUUUAGGGCCGAACCUGUGGCAUAGGUAGUUCCCAGGCUAGGGCUUGAAUCUGAGUUGUAGCUGCCAGCUUGGACCACAGCCACAGCAAUGCAGGAUCCAAGCUGCUUCUGCGACCUCCACGGCAGCUCACAGCAACAGAUGCUUAACCCACUGAGUGAGGCCAGGGAUCAAACCCGCAUCCUCACAAUUCUAGUCAGAUUCAUCACCACUGAGCCAAAAUGUGAACUCUUGAAAAGUACAUUUCUAACCAUAUUGUUCCCCUGAUUGAAAAUCCUUAAGUCCCACCUUUGCUCUUCGGGGCCUAGUACUUGGUUCAUGAAGAUGAUGGCUGAAGGUGUGAGUAAUAGAUAACUGUGUAAAGAUUUCUAUGUGUGUUUUUUCAGGAUGUGGAUCUUCUACCAAGUACAUCUUAGAAAGUCAAUGUUCCAGCGAUCAUCACGAGGAAGCUGCGCAGCAUCAAGUAAGUGUGGCUUUGGCCGGAAGCCAGAGCCCCGUGGCAUCAGAACCAGCUCCUGGCAGACAGCAGGGCUGACUGCGGGAGACCUCAUGUAGGCACUGCCUUCCUUUCCUGGCCUCCUCCCUCUCUCCCUGGCCCUGGACCCUCAUUGCAGUGUGUCCUGAAGUCUUCAAAAUGAAAUAGACCCUCUCCUGGGCUUUCUGUCCAAGAAUGUAAUUUCUCUAUCAUUGAAACAAAUGACCUGUCAUAGUUUAGUGAUCUGAAUUUUUAUGUGUAUUUGGCUUACGUCUUCACCCCCAGGGUACAGAAAGGUGGCUGGGUCAGACUAGAUGUGUUGUAAAUAUUUUUGAACGAAUCCGUGGGGGGCUGAGGUGAAUCAGUGAUCAUAUCUGAGAUAUUGGGGGGGGGUUUGCAUUCUGAGUCUAGUCUUCAAGGAGUUUGCCAAGCUCUAAGUGGUGAGGUUGCUGCUCUUUGCCCAGAGCUUUCCUUUGCCGAGUCCCAUGGUAUGUGCCUCCUUUGCAUUCUCACUCAGUCCUCGGAGGCCACUCCUGGAUGAAGUACUGUCAUUAGCCCCUUUUGACAGAUGAGAAAACUGAGGCUCAAAGAAGUGCAGUGAACUUGCCUCAGGUCACCUGGCUAGAAAGGGGGUGGAGGAGAGAUUUAAACCCUGACCUCCAGACCAAGGUUAAGGUUUCCUAAUGGUUUUAACCCACAGUCCCUCCCUCCUUUUUAUAUUAGUCAUGUCAGUCAAGUCCUAAUUCUUAUAUUUCACAAUUUUUUUAAAAAUUUAUUUAUUUAUUUUUCUACUGUACAGCAUGGGGGCCAAGAUACACUUACAUGAAUACGUUUUCUUUUCCCCACCCUUCGUUCUGUUACAGUAUAAGUAUCUAGACAUAGUUCUCAAUGCUACUCAGCAGGAUCUCAUUGUAAGUCCAUUCCAAGUUGUAUCUGAUAUCCCCAAGCUCCCGAUUCCUCCCACUCCCUCCCUCUCCCCCUGGGUGGCCACAAGUCUAUUCUCCAGGUCCAUGAUUUUCUUUUCUGUGGAAAUGUUCAUUUGUGCUGUAUAUUAGAUUCCAGUUAUAAGUGAAAUCAUAGGGUAUUUGUCUUCGUCUUUCUGACUUAUUUCACUCAGUAUGAGUCUCUAGUUCCACCCAUGUUGCUAUAAAUGGUAUUAUGUUGUUCUUUUUUAUGGCUGAGUAGUAUUCCAUUGUGUAUAUAUAUAUCACAUCUUCCUAAUCCAAUCAUCUGUUGAUGGACAUUGGGUUGUUUCCAUGUCUUGGCUACUGUGACUAGUGCUGCAAUGAACAUGCGGGUGCAUGUGUCUCUUUAAGUAGAGUUUUGUCUGGAUAUAUGCCCAAGAGUGGGAUUGCGGGGUCAUAUGGCGCGGGGAGCCGAGAAAAUGCAAGGACUCAAAACAAGGACCUUGCCUGAUGGCAGAAAAACCUGAAGGCAGGUUCUUAACCAAGAAAGGGAGCUCACCUGAAUGGUACAAGCCGAAAGCGGGCUUCUGGUCAGGAAAAAAGCUCACCUGAACGGUACAUGCCGAAGGUGGGCCUCUGGUCAGGAUAAAAGCCUGCCUGCACGGUGCAAGCCGAGCGCAGGCCUCAGGUUACUCAGCUUCACUUUGAUGUUGAUGGGAAGAUUUGGGGCUUUCCUGGGAAAACAGUUUCCAUGUUUGCAUUGGAGAACAUGGAUUGUUUCUCGAGUAACCUAGUCUUUCCUGCUGUUUAUUUGCUAUUCAGUUUUUCUCAGUCUUUCCUGAUUAUUUACUUAUUAUUUUAUUUCCCAUUCUUAUUGUCCUGUGGUGAUUUGUAACAAUAGUAUAAUAAAAAUUUCAUCCUGAAGGACUUUUCCCCUAUUUAAUCCAACUUAGUUUAAAACAUAGUGUUUAUCUAUUAACUAGUUAUAUAGUAACUUUAGAGUUAGGAUUUUAAUGAGGUCCAUAGAAGUUAGCCAUAUCUUAUCCAAAAAACCUAGCUGUGAGUUUUGUCUUUGAUUUUAAAAGCUUUUAGUGAUAGCUAGUUUAAUUAAGUUGGUUUAUAUUUACUCACACUGUCUCCCUGCCAUAACGCUUUGAAGAUAAACACCAGUCUACAAACAAAGUUUGUAAAUGCUAAAUUCUUGUGUUUUAUGGCCUCUUCAAAGUACUCACUAAGUUUACUUAAGUCGAGAUCUUAAAACAGGAUGCACAGCUGCUAUACCAUGUGAUAGUAACCAAUAUACUUUAACACUGUAAUGUAAUCUGUAGUGAAAAACUAUCUAUAUAAUCAACCACUGUUGCCAAUAAAGUUUGAGUAGUCCAGCGCCCUGAAAGAAGAGACAAAGAGGCUGUCUCCGAU
Molecule: long non-coding RNA, 4452 nt
Filed under: Sus scrofa (pig)
Lineage: Eukaryota; Metazoa; Chordata; Mammalia; Artiodactyla; Suidae
Description: lncRNA (ENSSSCG00000050347.1)
Source: RNAcentral